This 427-nucleotide ribosomal RNA is filed under the name uncultured bacterium. RNAcentral describes it as "partial 16S ribosomal RNA". It matches the Rfam family "Bacterial small subunit ribosomal RNA", at positions 354 to 796 of the family's 1533-position model. The record is from RNAcentral.
GUGGGGAAUAUUGGGCAAUGGGGGCAACCCUGACCCAGCGACGCCGCGUGAGGGAAGAAGGCCUUAGGGUCGUAAACCUCUGUUGUGUGGGAAGAAGGAAGUGACGGUACCACACGAGGAAGUCCCGGCUAACUACGUGCCAGCAGCCGCGGUAAUACGUAGGGGACGAGCGUUGUCCGGAAUUACUGGGCGUAAAGGGCGCGUAGGCGGUCAUUUAAGUCAGCUGUGAAAUGGUCCGGCUCAACCGGAUCAUGCGGUUGAAACUGGAUGACUGGUGUGCUGGAGAGGCAAGUGGAAUUCCCAGUGUAGCGGUGAAAUGCGUAGAUAUUGGGAAGAACACCGGUGGCGAAGGCGACUUGCUGGCCAGCAACUGACGCUGAGGCGCGAAAGCCAGGGGAGCAAACGGGAUUAGAAACCCGAGUAGUCC